GAGAACACAGCCUCUUGACUUUCCCCAAUAGGGUGUGAUAUGCAUAUGCAUACCAUUUCUGCGUAGAGUCUCCGCUCUAGACCAAACGCCCAUCUACCCAGGAAACGAAAUCUAUCUUGCACCAUUGAUCAGACGUCCGUUCUUAAUGCAUGCUGUGAGCCAACGGGACGAACGAAAGGCAAUCAACCCCCAUCCGCCAGCUGCACGGCAACAGGAGGUGGCGGGCAUAGAUUAAGCUGUCAUACGCACCUCUCUCCCGCUCACACAACGCAGACAAACUUACACCGUCAUUUCGCACCGACAUCCGCUCAGGCAGGAUCAUCAUCUGUCAGACAAGAUCCAAGAUCCCAAACCCAGGCAACCAGGCACAUCGCUAGAUAAUGAUAUGCAUGAUACUGGCCAGAAAAGAGGUGCAUUACUAGAUUUUUAAAUUAUUAGGAAAGCAAGUCACUGCCUCUUCUUUGUCAGGUAUCUAGUCUUCUUGAGCCUUUCUCUUGACCAAGAAGUGACGGUUAAGCUACAGAAAAAAAUAGUUAUAAAAAAACGAAAGUGACCAGUUCAUGGGUUUGAUAACGAUUUUCUGGAUGGAAAUGGAAGGUUUGAAGGUUUUUUUUUUGUUCCUUCUCUUCGAAGCCCAGGCAGGAGACUUUUCCCUCUUGUUCUAUGCUCGACGGC
This 675-nucleotide small RNA is filed under the name Histoplasma ohiense. RNAcentral describes it as "hypothetical lncRNA". Lineage: Eukaryota; Fungi; Ascomycota; Eurotiomycetes; Onygenales; Ajellomycetaceae. The record is from RNAcentral.